CACACAGACACACACGCACUCCCCAGGCCUCAAAAGCUUUGCACAUGGCCUUGGCUACCUCACUGUCAAUCAAACACUGAAUAAAAGAGAUAGCCCUCUCCUUGGGGGCCACGGCCUCUGUGGAUAACAGGCCGGCCGCCCGCGCGCACCCGCUCCCCUCCGGCUCCCCGCCCGCAGACCGGCCCGGCCCGCACCUCCUUCCCCACCGCACGUUCUGCCGGUCUCUCCACGUUUCGGCUGGGCUCGCGCUCCCAGCAGGUGACGACAGGACAAAAGGCUUGCCGGGCCCUUGGGCAGAGGGAGACGAGAUGAUCAGAGACGGAGAAGGCGAUGCAACUGUGCAAGUUGAGGAUGGAACCAUGUGGGACCAUGAGCCAAGGAAGGCAGGACCCUUCUAGAAACCGGAACAGACAAGGAAAUCAAAUACCUGGUAGAGCCUCCCGAGGGAAUGCAGGCCCUCUGACACUUUGUGUUUAGCCCAGUCAAACUGGUUUUGA
Molecule: long non-coding RNA, 497 nt
Organism: Mirounga angustirostris (Northern elephant seal)
Lineage: Eukaryota; Metazoa; Chordata; Mammalia; Carnivora; Phocidae
Exons: 3
Source: RefSeq, a predicted model, not a curated record